AGUGAACGCUGGCGGUAGGCCUAACACAUGCAAGUCGAACGGCAGCACAGUAAGAGCUUGCUCUUACGGGUGGCGAGUGGCGGACGGGUGAGGAAUACAUCGGAAUCUACUUUUUCGUGGGGGAUAACGUAGGGAAUCUUACGCUAAUACCGCAUACGACCUACGGGUGAAAGCAGGGGAUCUUCGGACCUUGCGCGAUUGAAUGAGCCGAUGUCGGAUUAGCUAGUUGGCGGGGUAAAGGCCCACCAAGGCGACGAUCCGUAGCUGGUCUGAGAGGAUGAUCAGCCACACUGGAACUGAGACACGGUCCAGACUCCUACGGGAGGCAGCAGUGGGGAAUAUUGGACAUUGGGCGCAAGCCUGAUCCAGCCAUACCGCGUGGGUGAAGAAGGCCUUCGGGUUGUAAAGCCCUUUUGUUGGGAAAGAAAAGCAGCAGGUUAAUACCCCGCUGUUCUGACGGUACCCAAAGAAUAAGCACCGGCUAACUUCGUG
This 492-nucleotide ribosomal RNA is filed under the name uncultured bacterium. RNAcentral describes it as "partial 16S ribosomal RNA". It matches the Rfam family "Bacterial small subunit ribosomal RNA", at positions 29 to 507 of the family's 1533-position model. The record is from RNAcentral.